Molecule: ribosomal RNA, 459 nt
Filed under: uncultured bacterium
Lineage: Bacteria
Description: partial 16S ribosomal RNA
Rfam family: Bacterial small subunit ribosomal RNA
Source: RNAcentral
CCUACGGGUGGCAGCAGUGAGGAAUAUUGGUCAAUGGACGAGAGUCUGAACCAGCCAAGUAGCGUGAAGGAUGACUGCCCUAUGGGUUGUAAACUUCUUUUAUAUGGGAAUAAAAUGUUCCACGUGUGGGCUUUUGUAUGUACCCUAUGAAUAAGGAUCGGCUAACUCCGUGCCAGCAGCCGCGGUAAUACGGAGGAUCCGAGCGUUAUCCGGAUUUAUUGGGUUUAAAGGGAGCGUAGGUGGAUUGUUAAGUCAGUUGUGAAAGUUUGCGGCUCAACCGUAAAAUUGCAGUUGAAACUGGCAGUCUUGAGUACAGUAGAGGUGGGCGGAAGUCGUGGUGUAGCGGUGAAAUGCUUAGAUAUCACGAAGAACUCCGAUUGCGAAGGCAGCUCACUGGACUGCAACUGACACUGAGGCUCGAAAGUGUGGGUAUCAAACAGGAUUAGAUACCCGAGUGUC